GGCUCCCGCGUACGGCCAAUCCGCGAAGCCGCGCCUGCGCAUCUAAGUACGCGGGAGCGGGAGGGGGCGGGGAUAGCCUGCAGCCUCCGGAGACAGCGCCUUCUGCUGCUGGAACCGAACCGCGCUUUUGCCGACAAGGAACGAACGCCUCUGAUGGUCACACAUGGCCCAGGCUGGCCUCAAACUUGCUAUGUAGCUGCUACUGGCCUUGAACUCCCUGCCUUCAUCUUCCUGUUCUCACCUCCUCCAAGUGCUGAGAUUACAGGUCAAGCAAUCAGAAAAAUGGACACAGAAACCAGGCAGAGUGAGCUAGAAAACCAGUGGACAAUACAGGAGAUAACUUUAUUGAAACGCAAAUGGCAGUGAACAGAUGAAUUCUGCUGGAUGGAGACAUGCCUGACGGACAGAGGACCCAG
This is a long non-coding RNA of Meriones unguiculatus (Mongolian gerbil), 416 nucleotides long. RefSeq lists it as uncharacterized. The transcript is spliced from 3 exons. The record is from RefSeq and is a predicted model, not a curated record. Lineage: Eukaryota; Metazoa; Chordata; Mammalia; Rodentia; Muridae.